UACGAAGGGGGCUAGCGUUGCUCGGAAUUACUGGGCGUAAAGGGCGCGUAGGCGGCUUAGUGAGUCAGGCGUGAAAUUCCUGGGCUUAACCUGGGGACUGCGCUUGAUACUGCUGGGCUUGAGGCCGAGAGAGGGUGGUGGAAUUCCCAGUGUAGAGGUGAAAUUCGUAGAUAUUGGGAAGAACACCGGUGGCGAAGGCGACCACCUGGCUCGGUACUGACGCUGAGGCGCGACAGCGUGGGGAGCAAACAGGAUUAGAUACCCUGGUAGUCCACGCCGUAAACGAUGUGCGCUGGAUGUUGGGGCUCCUAGAGCCUCAGUGUCGUAGCUAACGCGGUAAGCGCACCGCCUGGGGAGUACGGCCGCAAGGUUGAA
This 375-nucleotide ribosomal RNA is filed under the name uncultured bacterium. Its description in RNAcentral is "bacterial SSU rRNA". It matches the Rfam family "Bacterial small subunit ribosomal RNA", at positions 524 to 898 of the family's 1533-position model. The record is from RNAcentral.